UUGAAGAGUUUGAUCAUGGCUCAGAUUGAACGCUGGCGGCAGGCCUAACACAUGCAAGUCGAACGGUAACAGGAAGCAGCUUGCUGCUUUGCUGACGAGUGGCGGACGGGUGAGUAAUGUCUGGGAAACUGCCUGAUGGAGGGGGAUAACUACUGGAAACGGUGGCUAAUACCGCAUAACGUCGCAAGACCAAAGAGGGGGACCUUCGGGCCUCUUGCCAUCAGAUGUGCCCAGAUGGGAUUAGCUGGUUGGUGAGGUAACGGCUCACCAAGGCGACGAUCCCUAGCUGGUCUGAGAGGAUGACCAGCCACACUGGAACUGAGACACGGUCCAGACUCCUACGGGAGGCAGCAGUGGGGAAUAUUGCACAAUGGGCGCAAGCCUGAUGCAGCCAUGCCGCGUGUAUGAAGAAGGCCUUCGGGUUGUAAAGUACUUUCAGCGGGGAGGAAGGUGUUGUGGUUAAUAACCGCAGCAAUUGACGUUACCCGCAGAAGAAGCACCGGCUAACUCCGUGCCAGCAGCCGCGGUAAUACGGAGGGUGCAAGCGUUAAUCGGAAUUACUGGGCGUAAAGCGCACGCAGGCGGUCUGUCAAGUCGGAUGUGAAAUCCCCGGGCUCAACCUGGGAACUGCAUUCGAAACUGGCAGGCUUGAGUCUUGUAGAGGGGGGUAGAAUUCCAGGUGUAGCGGUGAAAUGCGUAGAGAUCUGGAGGAAUACCGGUGGCGAAGGCGGCCCCCUGGACAAAGACUGACGCUCAGGUGCGAAAGCGUGGGGAGCAAACAGGAUUAGAUACCCUGGUAGUCCACGCCGUAAACGAUGUCUACUUGGAGGUUGUGCCCUUGAGGCGUGGCUUCCGGAGCUAACGCGUUAAGUAGACCGCCUGGGGAGUACGGCCGCAAGGUUAAAACUCAAAUGAAUUGACGGGGGCCCGCACAAGCGGUGGAGCAUGUGGUUUAAUUCGAUGCAACGCGAAGAACCUUACCUGGUCUUGACAUCCACAGAACUUUCCAGAGAUGGACUGGUGCCUUCGGGAACUGUGAGACAGGUGCUGCAUGGCUGUCGUCAGCUCGUGUUGUGAAAUGUUGGGUUAAGUCCCGCAACGAGCGCAACCCUUAUCCUUUGUUGCCAGCGGUUAGGCCGGGAACUCAAAGGAGACUGCCAGUGAUAAACUGGAGGAAGGUGGGGAUGACGUCAAGUCAUCAUGGCCCUUACGACCAGGGCUACACACGUGCUACAAUGGCGCAUACAAAGAGAAGCGACCUCGCGAGAGCAAGCGGACCUCAUAAAGUGCGUCGUAGUCCGGAUUGGAGUCUGCAACUCGACUCCAUGAAGUCGGAAUCGCUAGUAAUCGUGGAUCAGAAUGCCACGGUGAAUACGUUCCCGGGCCUUGUACACACCGCCCGUCACACCAUGGGAGUGGGUUGCAAAAGAAGUAGGUAGCUUAACCUUCGGGAGGGCGCUUACCACUUUGUGAUUCAUGACUGGGGUGAAGUCGUAACAAGGUAACCGUAGGGGAACCUGCGGUUGGAUCACCUCCUU
Molecule: ribosomal RNA, 1538 nt
Filed under: Salmonella enterica subsp. enterica serovar Senftenberg
Lineage: Bacteria; Pseudomonadati; Pseudomonadota; Gammaproteobacteria; Enterobacterales; Enterobacteriaceae
Description: bacterial SSU rRNA
Rfam family: Bacterial small subunit ribosomal RNA
Source: RNAcentral